AGAAACUUAGGUUAAUACACUAAACCAAGAGCCUUCAAAGCCCUAAAUAUGAGCCCAAAACCUCUUAGUUUCUG
Molecule: transfer RNA, 74 nt
Filed under: Aristelliger expectatus
Lineage: Eukaryota; Metazoa; Chordata; Lepidosauria; Squamata; Sphaerodactylidae
Description: tRNA-Trp
Rfam family: tRNA
About the family: Transfer RNA (tRNA) molecules are approximately 80 nucleotides in length.
Source: RNAcentral